This 254-nucleotide ribosomal RNA is filed under the name uncultured bacterium. RNAcentral describes it as "partial 16S ribosomal RNA". It matches the Rfam family "Bacterial small subunit ribosomal RNA", at positions 524 to 776 of the family's 1533-position model. The record is from RNAcentral.
UACGGAGGGUGCAAGCGUUGUUCGGAAUUAUUGGGCGUAAAGCGCGCGCAGGCGGUUUCGUAAGUCCAGGGGUGAAAUGCCGGAGCUCAACUCCGCGCCCGCCCCGGAUACUGCGGAACUGGAGACACGUAGAGGCUGGCGGAAUUCCGGGUGUAGCGGUGGAAUGCGUAGAGAUCCGGAAGAACACCGGAGGCGAAGGCGGCCAGCUGGGCGUGAUCUGACGCUGAGGCGCGAAGGCGUGGGGAGCGAACAGG